This 382-nucleotide ribosomal RNA is filed under the name Cycloxanthops truncatus. Its description in RNAcentral is "partial 12S ribosomal RNA". The record is from RNAcentral. Lineage: Eukaryota; Metazoa; Arthropoda; Malacostraca; Decapoda; Xanthidae.
UUAGAUACCCUAUUAUACUAGUAAUAACCUAAAUUAUUAAUAGAUAUUUCUUUAAAUUUGAAGAAUUUGGCGGUGAUUUAGUCUUGUUAGAGGAACCUGUUUUUAAAUCGAUACACCACGUUAAAUCUUACUUGUUUUAUUUAGUUUAUAUACCGUCAUUAUCAGAUAAUUUUAAGAAAAUAAAUUAUUGAAAUCUAGAUUAAUUAGAUUAAAUUAGAUCAAGGUGUAGCCUAUAAGCAAGUUAAAAUGGGUUACAAUAAAAUUUAUUUAUUAUGGAGCAAUUAGUAGGAAAUUAUAUUGUAAAGGAGGAUUUAAUUGUAAUACAAGUUUAGUAAGCUUGAAAGAUAUAAGCUCUAAAUCAUGUACAUAUCGCCCGUCGCUA